CCAGUUUGCUGUGCUUGAGACUGCAGUCGUCUGGGUGCUUUAUUAGUUACGUCAGGGAUGCCCUGACACCGGUGGCCGGCGGUGGGGAGCAUCUUUCUCCUCCCUACCCCGAGUGCAACCACACUCGCCCGCCAGCCUCCCCAUCUGACCCACCUCUACGUCGGGGGAAACGGUGGCCUGCGCCACCACUGACGGCGGCCCAUGCGCAUCGACACAUUGAGUACCCCUGACUAUUUUAUUAACUUAUUAUGAACCAGAUCUUUUGUUACAUUCUGAGAGGACUUUUUUACGUCGUCGGAAACGGAUUUCUACAAUGUUCCUAUAAAGACGAGGAUGGCUGUCGAUGGUUGGAAGGAUGGUUGUUAUUAAUACUGCUGCUUUCGGACAAGUACACAAGUACACGGAGACCACACUUUAUUCUGGCUUUCGACUUUUGAACAUAUCUGGAACAUUUGGUGGAAAUAACAAUCGCCUAUUUGAAACAUUCGUUCGAGGAUGGUGACAAAAAUUCCUUGGCUAAUUAUGUCGUGUUACAUGCUAUUAAAUUUUGUUUGUACUUCUA
Molecule: long non-coding RNA, 562 nt
Organism: Syngnathoides biaculeatus (alligator pipefish)
Lineage: Eukaryota; Metazoa; Chordata; Actinopteri; Syngnathiformes; Syngnathidae
Exons: 2
Source: RefSeq, a predicted model, not a curated record